This 374-nucleotide ribosomal RNA is filed under the name uncultured organism. RNAcentral's name for it is "bacterial SSU rRNA". It matches the Rfam family "Bacterial small subunit ribosomal RNA", at positions 526 to 896 of the family's 1533-position model. The record is from RNAcentral.
CGGGGGGAGCAAGCGUUGUUCGGAUUUACUGGGCGUAAAGGGCGCGUAGGCGGUCAGCACAAGUCAGUUGUGAAAUCUCCGGGCUUAACUCGGCAAGGUCAACUGAUACUGUGCGACUAGAGUGCAGAAGGGGCAACUGGAAUUCUCGGUGUAGCGGUGAAAUGCGUAGAUAUCGAGAGGAACACCUGCGGCGAAGGCGGGUUGCUGGGCUGACACUGACGCUGAGGCGCGAAAGCCAGGGGAGCGAACGGGAUUAGAUACCCCGGUAGUCCUGGCCUUAAACGAUGGAUGCUUGGUGUCUGGAGUUAUAUAGUCUCCGGGUGCCGCAGCUAACGCGUUAAGCAUCCCGCCUGGGGAGUACGGUCGCAAGACUG